GGUGGAGGACAAGGCAAGGAUGCCUAUUCUCACCACUUACGUUCAACAUGAUAGAGGAGGGGCCUACACAGAGAAAUAAGACAAAAGGAAACAGUACAUAAAGAUUAGAAACAAAGAAGUAAAACUGUAUGUAUUUGCAGAUGACAUGAUCAUGUAAGUAGAAAACCCUCAGGAAUCUUUUUAAAAAUCCACUAGAACUAUUGAGGUGAGUUUAGCAAGAUUGCAGGAAAAACGCCAGGGUGUUGGGCAAAAUUUUAAGGUAACCCCCAGCGACGUUUGCCCGUGUACAAUGUCCUCUCCUUGCGUGUGGGUGGAACUUGUGACUAUGAUAGGAUAACUGUGAUUAUGUUACAUUAUUUGGCAAAGGGAUCCUGUGGGUUUAAUUGGGUUACUUUGAGUUAAUCAAAAGGGAGAUUUUCCAAGUAGACCUGACCUAAUCACAGGAGCUCUUUAAGUCUAGGGCUAGAGGUCAGAGAUGGAAGCAGUUAGAGAGAGAGUCAAAGCUAAAUAGGGACCUUGAUACUAAGAAAGUAGUCUGUGAAUAUGGCCAGAUGUCUGUCACUAGUUUGGGAGAAAUCUCUUGGUCUGGCCAUUUUCUGUGAAUGUCAGAGUAGAUAUAAUUAUCCGGGGGGACUUGCCAUGGACUCUGGUCAUCUGGUAAAGACAUGUAUAUUUCUGUGCUAAUAAAGCAGUUUUAAUUUUAAAAUUCACCUCAAGUAUGAGAUUCUUCCCUCUGUACACAUGAGCUUUGUUUAGGGCUUUAGCACAAACUUAGCUCUGCUGCAUGCCUCAAAAGAGGUGCAGCUCAGGGUACCAGUUUGCUAAAGGGGAGCCACAUAGUCCUGUUAACCUUGCAGUGAAACUUAGAGUUGAUUAGGGUGGCAGGAAGCCAGAAGCACACUGCAUGGUAAUGAAGGCCCAAACAACUCGUUUUUCUUUCUACUGAUGAGAAAAAGGAAUUAAGCAUAAAUUGCAGUAGGAGACAUUUGGUCUGGAAUCUAGGAAUAACUUGCUGAUGGGACAUUUUAGAGAUUAGGAUCCCCAGACAAGUAGUGAUGUUGCUGUGAUGGGGAAGGGUACUGCUGUCUGGCCCUAACAGAGAUAGACUCAAAUCUUUUAAGCCCUCAUUAAGAUACUGUGUGUAAAUUUUGUUUUUAUUAAUGCAAAUUAUAAUUAUUCAGUAUUCCUUCCUUUUUUUUUUCUUUGACAAUUUUAAGCCUUGUCCUAGGUUAAGACUGAUGAACAGGAGCCAAAGAAGAGCUUUGUUGCAAAUGUAUACACUUUUUCCUAAAGUGAUUUUCCAUGACCUGAUACUUAUGUCACUGAGCACCUUGACAAAUGAAUGACUGGGUAGUUUUAUUAAGCCAGUUUUUUGUUGCUGUUGUUUUUCCCGCUGUCUGUCUUCUUCUUCUUCAUGUAGCUCAGUCCCAGUUCCAGAAUGAGGAAGCUGCCUCAGGGUCGCCCUGUUCCUCCCCUUGGACCUGAGACAAGAGUUUCUGUAGUCUGGGUGGAACGCUAUGAUGAUAUAGAGAACUUUCCCCUCUCAGAGCUGAUGACAGAGAUCAGUACUGGUGUGGAAACUACUGCAAAUAGUAGCACUUCACUGAGAUCUACAACUCUUGAAAAAGAAGUUCCUGUCAUCUUCAUCCACCCUUUAAACACUGGAUUAUUCCGGAUAAAAAUUCAAGGUGCCACUGGAAAAUUUAAUAUGGUCAUCCCUCUUGUGGAUGGGAUGAUUGUCAGCAGGCGAGCUCUUGGCUUUCUGGUGAGGCAGACUGUAAUUAACAUUUGUAGAAGAAAGAGACUGGAAAGUGACUCCUACAGUCCCCCCCAUGUCCGCCGGAAACAGAAAAUCACCGACAUUGUCAACAAGUACCGGAACAAGCAGCUGGAGCCAGAGUUUUAUACUUCACUUUUCCAGGAGGUUGGACUCAAGAACUGCAGUUCUUAGACCACUGAAUUUCUAAGACUGUUGAACUCCAGUUUGGGAACUAUAACACAGCAGAACAGUUUGAUAGGUGAUCACUGUAAAAAUAAAAACAAAUCACUCCCAAGAGCUUACUGUUUAAUCACCAGAAUAGAAGAAACACAUUAUAACCCAUUUGAUAGAAGACUUUGGGCUAUCUAGUGAAAUGGGCUCCCAGACACAAUCAUACUCCUGCUGAUAAUGAUGAUAUACAUUUUAGCCAUAAACUUUCUUUUAAAAGUGACAAUUUUAGUUAAACAUAAGCCUUUUGAGGAGAAAGGCUUUUAUGCAUCUCAGUUAAACACGUGCAUUGGUAGUAUCAACAAAUUUGCAAUAUAGAAGUUGAAGAUAGUUUUAUACCUCACUUUUUAGGAGGUUGUAUUCAAAAUUAAAAUCUUUCUCAGAAUCUUACAGGACAUUUAAAGACUCAUGUUGAUAGCAUGGAGGAGAAGGAAAGAAGUCACAGCCUUCUACUCACUUGUAGGUCUUCUUGUCAUCCAGCUGUCACACUGACAAAAAGAAAAGAUGAUACAUGUUUUUUGCUCAGAUAAGAAGCCUGACAUUAAAAGAUGUCAUAUUUUUUUCUCCACAUUUCAAAAAGUUGUCCUUCUCAUCACUGCACAGAUCUGUCUGAAAGCCUCAGUUUCUGAGUGACCCAGGAACAGAUCAGAAAUGGAGCAUGGCCUUGUCCUUUAAUGGGGAUGCAAAUAAAGUUUGUGGGGUUAAAAGUUAUAAGACAGCAGUGAUACCCCACUCUCUCCAUUAUUGUCCAGCGGGGUGACAUAAUGACAGGUUAAAUAUUUGUGAUUCAUUGAUUAAAUAUUAUUUAAAGAAAUGUAAAUUCACAAUAAGGGUUGAAAAUUAUUUGGUUUCAUCCAUUGUCUCUUAUUUCAGGACCAAGCAGCAAACUGCAGUAGUUUGUGAAGGAUUCUAAUAUGGGGUUCAGGAAUAGCCUCUCAACGCUACUAAUUCAGAUCUCUCCCAGAGAACUACUGGAUUUCCUCAUAAUUGACAAACAUGAGUGACCACCUCUUUGGGUGGCUACUGUUAGAAAUGGCUGUUGUUGUCAUGUUUUCUGGACUUUGCCAGCCAACAGAUCCCUGCCAGGUUUUGGAAAUACUUCUAUUACCUCGCUGCUACUUUUCUGCAGGGAUAAAACUUUUGAGGUGGCCAGACCCAGAACAUCCAAGGAUUCCUGUUACAGUGCUACAGUAUACACUGCUCAUUUAUCCUAUUCUCAUGUGCUUUCUUCUUUAGUAAGAUUAUUUUAAGAAAAUACGUGAUAUUUAAAGUCCAAAGAGGAAUGAUCACAGUUGUAUAAGGGGUGUUUUCCCACUUGAACUCUGAUGUCAGUUGACUGUGGGUCAGAGCUACAACCAUCUGUUUGGUUUGAUGUUUUGGUGGUUUACUUACGGAGUGGGGAUAGUGUGAGACCUAAUUCCCUGUGCAAAUGUCUCUUAUUCCAGAAAUGUGCAUUUUGUCAUCUAUAAGCAAGAAAUAUGGGCAUAGCAGCUCUUGGUUUAAAGUUUGCCAUAACCUGUUCAUGUUUGUUUUAAGCUCAGGUAAAGAUAACCUCCUCUUUCUAUGACUCCAGUUUCCAUUCAGGUUAUAGUAUUAUUCAAUAGUUGAUUUUCUUUUUAAGCUGGGCAAUAAAUUGAUGUUUCCAGAUGGUAACAUGGGAGAGGGCAUAUAGGAUAAAGAUGAGCAAAUUCUACCCUAAAAAUGUUCUAGUAGUUCACAGGAAGAAGAUGAGGUUUAAUAACUUUCAAGGUAAUUCUAGAUUGACAUUUUGAGGGGAAAAUGGGCUCUUGUUCUAGUUGAAGUGAGCAGAGAAGGCUAUAAAUUAGUAUGUAACUUACAGCAUUCCAGAGGUUAAAAAUAACUGAUGUAGAUGUACUUCUUCAGUGUGAUUCUUCAGAUCAAACUUUUACUUUUGGCAUAGUUAAUUUCAGAAAAAUGUGCUGUAUGUGUGUGUGUAUGAGGGUUGGUCUUGCUGAUCCUUGAGUUAGCUCUAAAUUCUGGCAACUUCUUGUAAUUCCAAUGUAUUUGAUACAUGAACAAUCAUGUUGAAUGCAUUUGUGAUCUGGGAGACUCCCUCGUCUUCCAGGGAAGGAAGGAUGUGCAGCCCCUGAAGGCAUGAAACUCCCAGUGUGUACGGAGCCAGUGGAAUAUGGGAUACCCAUACAUUACCAGGCGCUGGUUCCUUCUGCUUACAAUAACAUCUGCCCAAAGAGGGAGUGGGAAGAACCCUUAGCUCUUUCACUAGUAUGGAUUUGAGUUCAUGGUCACUAUUUUUACCCACCUGCCUGUGUUAAAAAUCACUUUGAGUAGAAUAGCACUGGAGGAACAUAUUUAGCACCUAAUAUUAAUAUUUAGUAGUCCAUUGAUAAAUUUGCCAGCAUAUGUUCUAGCCUCUGGUGGGAAACCAGGACCACUUUUGUCUGUGGCUUAAACAGUUCAGUUGCUAUAUCUGUUGGGUAUGCCGGGGGUGGAUGAGUGUGGCAUUCUGUGAAGAGGAAGGUGGUAAGUAAGGUUGCCCUUCUACUGCCUUCUUAAGUUGCAGGAGGGAGCUUUUCUCCUCCCCUCUGGUUGGGAGCACUGAGGACAGUGAGGAGGGCUUUUACCUUGUUAAUCCUUUCCUUAUUUAGCUAGCUUUCCUUUUUGUCUAGGGCUUCCUCCUGAGACCCUCUUCCAUCCAUUGGGCCUUUGAAAGGACUAAUCAGACACACACACACACACACACACACACACUCGCAUACUCAUGCACAUUUUCCUUCAUUUCCAGAUCCUUUAUUUCACAGCAGCCCAUUUUCCUCUGGAUUCAUUGAUGAAUACAAGUACCCACACCUUUGGCCAGUAAUGUCAGUUACCUGCUGCAGGUUCUGUGUAUGAGGCCUUCAUGAACGGUUACCUUCUCCAUACACUAGGGAAGCAUUUGUCAGACUCUGCAGACUGGGUUCUAGAGAGGCAGAGUCUUAAAGAGUAUUCAUUUCUUCUGGAAGGUGGAGCUUUACCCAAAGUGGAAGUUAGCCUUGCUCAAAGAUGUGUUUUGUGGUAGGUGGUAAAAAUAAAUAAAUAAAUAAAUAAAUAAA
Molecule: small RNA, 5058 nt
Filed under: Pan troglodytes (chimpanzee)
Lineage: Eukaryota; Metazoa; Chordata; Mammalia; Primates; Hominidae
Description: retained intron
Source: RNAcentral